AGAAACAAUAUAGAAACAUUUCGUAUAACUCCAAUGAUAUGGAUUGGAGGUCUCUACCAGGAACCAAUAAAUCCUGAUUACGAAGAAGGUACAUGAAUUU
This 100-nucleotide non-coding RNA is filed under the name Bacillus sp. (in: firmicutes). RNAcentral describes it as "Bacillus sp. Guanine sequence". It matches the Rfam family "Purine riboswitch aptamer". Rfam says of the family: Riboswitches are metabolite binding domains within certain messenger RNAs that serve as precision sensors for their corresponding targets. Allosteric rearrangement of mRNA structure is mediated by ligand binding, and this results in modulation of gene expression. A class of riboswitches that selectively recognises guanine and becomes saturated at concentrations as low as 5 nM. RNAcentral also lists the same sequence under 1 other name. The record is from RNAcentral. Lineage: Bacteria; Bacillati; Bacillota; Bacilli; Caryophanales; Bacillaceae.